RNAcentral lists this ribosomal RNA (253 nucleotides) under uncultured bacterium. RNAcentral describes it as "partial 16S ribosomal RNA". It matches the Rfam family "Bacterial small subunit ribosomal RNA", at positions 524 to 776 of the family's 1533-position model. The record is from RNAcentral.
UACGUAGGGUGCGAGCGUUAAUCGGAAUUACUGGGCGUAAAGCGUGCGCAGGCGGUUUUGUAAGGCAGAUGUGAAAGCCCCGGGCUUAACCUGGGAAUGGCAUUUGGGACUGCAAGGCUUGAGUGCGGCAGAGGAGACUGGAAUUCCUGGUGUAGCAGUGAAAUGCGUAGAUAUCGGGAGGAACACCUGUGGCGAAAGCGGCUCACUGGACCAUAACUGACGCUGAUGCACGAAAGCUGGGGGAGCAAACAGG